Molecule: ribosomal RNA, 383 nt
Filed under: uncultured eukaryote
Lineage: Eukaryota
Description: partial 18S ribosomal RNA
Rfam family: Eukaryotic small subunit ribosomal RNA
Source: RNAcentral
CAAUAGCGUAUAUUAAAGUUGUUGCAGUUAAAAAGCUCGUAGUUGGAUUUCUGGUGGGAGCGAUCGGUCUGGCGCUUAGCGCGAGUACUUGCAUCGUCUCCGGCCAUCCUUGGGGAGAGUCUGUCUGGCAUUAGGUUGUCGGGCAGAGGAUCCUCAUCGUUUACUGUGAAAAAAUUAGAGUGUUCAAAGCAGGCUUAUGCCGUUGAAUAUAUUAGCAUGGAAUAAUAAGAUAGGACUUUGGUACUAUUUUGUUGGUUUGCGCACCAAAGUAAUGAUUAAUAGGGACAGUUGGGGGUAUUCGUAUUCCGUUGUCAGAGGUGAAAUUCUUGGAUUUACGGAAGACGAACUACUGCGAAAGCAUUUACCAAGGAUGUUUUCACUAA